Molecule: ribosomal RNA, 2930 nt
Filed under: Escherichia coli
Lineage: Bacteria; Pseudomonadati; Pseudomonadota; Gammaproteobacteria; Enterobacterales; Enterobacteriaceae
Description: 23S ribosomal RNA
Rfam family: Bacterial large subunit ribosomal RNA
Source: RNAcentral
GGGUUGUGAGGUUAAGCGACUAAGCGUACACGGUGGAUGCCCUGGCAGUCAGAGGCGAUGAAGGACGUGCUAAUCUGCGAUAAGCGUCGGUAAGGUGAUAUGAACCGUUAUAACCGGCGAUUUCCGAAUGGGGAAACCCAGUGUGUUUCGACACACUAUCAUUAACUGAAUCCAUAGGUUAAUGAGGCGAACCGGGGGAACUGAAACAUCUAAGUACCCCGAGGAAAAGAAAUCAACCGAGAUUCCCCCAGUAGCGGCGAGCGAACGGGGAGCAGCCCAGAGCCUGAAUCAGUAUGUGUGUUAGUGGAAGCGUCUGGAAAGGCGCGCGAUACAGGGUGACAGCCCCGUACACAAAAAUGCACAUGCUGUGAGCUCGAUGAGUAGGGCGGGACACGUGGUAUCCUGUCUGAAUAUGGGGGGACCAUCCUCCAAGGCUAAAUACUCCUGACUGACCGAUAGUGAACCAGUACCGUGAGGGAAAGGCGAAAAGAACCCCGGCGAGGGGAGUGAAAAAGAACCUGAAACCGUGUACGUACAAGCAGUGGGAGCACGCUUAGGCGUGUGACUGCGUACCUUUUGUAUAAUGGGUCAGCGACUUAUAUUCUGUAGCAAGGUUAACCGAAUAGGGGAGCCGAAGGGAAACCGAGUCUUAACUGGGCGUUAAGUUGCAGGGUAUAGACCCGAAACCCGGUGAUCUAGCCAUGGGCAGGUUGAAGGUUGGGUAACACUAACUGGAGGACCGAACCGACUAAUGUUGAAAAAUUAGCGGAUGACUUGUGGCUGGGGGUGAAAGGCCAAUCAAACCGGGAGAUAGCUGGUUCUCCCCGAAAGCUAUUUAGGUAGCGCCUCGUGAAUUCAUCUCCGGGGGUAGAGCACUGUUUCGGCAAGGGGGUCAUCCCGACUUACCAACCCGAUGCAAACUGCGAAUACCGGAGAAUGUUAUCACGGGAGACACACGGCGGGUGCUAACGUCCGUCGUGAAGAGGGAAACAACCCAGACCGCCAGCUAAGGUCCCAAAGUCAUGGUUAAGUGGGAAACGAUGUGGGAAGGCCCAGACAGCCAGGAUGUUGGCUUAGAAGCAGCCAUCAUUUAAAGAAAGCGUAAUAGCUCACUGGUCGAGUCGGCCUGCGCGGAAGAUGUAACGGGGCUAAACCAUGCACCGAAGCUGCGGCAGCGACGCUUAUGCGUUGUUGGGUAGGGGAGCGUUCUGUAAGCCUGUGAAGGUGUACUGUGAGGUAUGCUGGAGGUAUCAGAAGUGCGAAUGCUGACAUAAGUAACGAUAAAGCGGGUGAAAAGCCCGCUCGCCGGAAGACCAAGGGUUCCUGUCCAACGUUAAUCGGGGCAGGGUGAGUCGACCCCUAAGGCGAGGCCGAAAGGCGUAGUCGAUGGGAAACAGGUUAAUAUUCCUGUACUUGGUGUUACUGCGAAGGGGGGACGGAGAAGGCUAUGUUGGCCGGGCGACGGUUGUCCCGGUUUAAGCGUGUAGGCUGGUUUUCCAGGCAAAUCCGGAAAAUCAAGGCUGAGGCGUGAUGACGAGGCACUACGGUGCUGAAGCAACAAAUGCCCUGCUUCCAGGAAAAGCCUCUAAGCAUCAGGUAACAUCAAAUCGUACCCCAAACCGACACAGGUGGUCAGGUAGAGAAUACCAAGGCGCUUGAGAGAACUCGGGUGAAGGAACUAGGCAAAAUGGUGCCGUAACUUCGGGAGAAGGCACGCUGAUAUGUAGGUGAAGUCCCUUGCGGAUGGAGCUGAAAUCAGUCGAAGAUACCAGCUGGCUGCAACUGUUUAUUAAAAACACAGCACUGUGCAAACACGAAAGUGGACGUAUACGGUGUGACGCCUGCCCGGUGCCGGAAGGUUAAUUGAUGGGGUCAGCGCAAGCGAAGCUCUUGAUCGAAGCCCCGGUAAACGGCGGCCGUAACUAUAACGGUCCUAAGGUAGCGAAAUUCCUUGUCGGGUAAGUUCCGACCUGCACGAAUGGCGUAAUGAUGGCCAGGCUGUCUCCACCCGAGACUCAGUGAAAUUGAACUCGCUGUGAAGAUGCAGUGUACCCGCGGCAAGACGGAAAGACCCCGUGAACCUUUACUAUAGCUUGACACUGAACAUUGAGCCUUGAUGUGUAGGAUAGGUGGGAGGCUUUGAAGUGUGGACGCCAGUCUGCAUGGAGCCGACCUUGAAAUACCACCCUUUAAUGUUUGAUGUUCUAACGUGGACCCGUGAUCCGGGUUGCGGACAGUGUCUGGUGGGUAGUUUGACUGGGGCGGUCUCCUCCUAAAGAGUAACGGAGGAGCACGAAGGUUGGCUAAUCCUGGUCGGACAUCAGGAGGUUAGUGCAAUGGCAUAAGCCAGCUUGACUGCGAGCGUGACGGCGCGAGCAGGUGCGAAAGCAGGUCAUAGUGAUCCGGUGGUUCUGAAUGGAAGGGCCAUCGCUCAACGGAUAAAAGGUACUCCGGGGAUAACAGGCUGAUACCGCCCAAGAGUUCAUAUCGACGGCGGUGUUUGGCACCUCGAUGUCGGCUCAUCACAUCCUGGGGCUGAAGUAGGUCCCAAGGGUAUGGCUGUUCGCCAUUUAAAGUGGUACGCGAGCUGGGUUUAGAACGUCGUGAGACAGUUCGGUCCCUAUCUGCCGUGGGCGCUGGAGAACUGAGGGGGGCUGCUCCUAGUACGAGAGGACCGGAGUGGACGCAUCACUGGUGUUCGGGUUGUCAUGCCAAUGGCACUGCCCGGUAGCUAAAUGCGGAAGAGAUAAGUGCUGAAAGCAUCUAAGCACGAAACUUGCCCCGAGAUGAGUUCUCCCUGACUCCUUGAGAGUCCUGAAGGAACGUUGAAGACGACGACGUUGAUAGGCCGGGUGUGUAAGCGCAGCGAUGCGUUGAGCUAACCGGUACUAAUGAACCGUGAGGCUUAACCUUACAACGCCGAAGCUGUU